This 424-nucleotide ribosomal RNA is filed under the name Verrucomicrobiota bacterium. Its description in RNAcentral is "Verrucomicrobia bacterium partial 16S ribosomal RNA". It matches the Rfam family "Bacterial small subunit ribosomal RNA", at positions 355 to 776 of the family's 1533-position model. Lineage: Bacteria; Pseudomonadati; Verrucomicrobiota. The record is from RNAcentral.
UGAGGAAUAUUGGUCAAUGGACGAGAGUCUGAACCAGCCAAGUAGCGUGCAGGAUGACGGCCCUAUGGGUUGUAAACUGCUUUUGUUUGGGAAUAAUCGACAUUACGUGUAAUGUUUUGCAUGUACCAUUCGAAUAAGGACCGGCUAAUUCCGUGCCAGCAGCCGCGGUAAUACGGAAGGUCCAGGCGUUAUCCGGAUUUAUUGGGUUUAAAGGGAGUGUAGGCGGUUGGUUAAGCGUGUUGUGAAAUGUAGAUGCUCAACAUCUGACUUGCAGCGCGAACUGGCUGACUUGAGUACACACAACGUAGGCGGAAUUCAUGGUGUAGCGGUGAAAUGCUUAGAUAUCAUGAAGAACUCCGAUUGCGAAGGCAGCUUACGGGAGUGUUACUGACGCUUAAGCUCGAAGGUGCGGGUAUCAAACAGG